GCGCAGCAGUCGCGAAACCUCCACAAUUUGCGCAAGCAUGAUGGGGCCACUCCGAGUGCCAUCCGCUGAGGAUGGCUUUUCCCUAGUGUAGAUAGCUGGGGGAAUAAGGAGAGGGCAAGUCUGGUGUCAGCCGCCGCGGUAAUACCAGCUCUUCGAGUGGUAGGGAUGUUUAUUGGGCCUGAAGCAUCCGUAGCCGGCUGGACAAGUCCUCCGUUAAAUCCAGCGAUUCAAUCGUUGGAUUGCGAGGGAUACUGUUCGGCUAGGGGGUGCGAGAGGCCAGCGGUAUUCCCGGGGUAGGGGUGAAAUCCUAUAAUCCCGGGAGGACCACCAGUGGCGAAGGCUGUUGGCUAGAACACGCCCGACGGUGAGGGAUGAAAGCUGGGGGAGCGAACCGGAUUAGAUACCCGGGUAGUCC
RNAcentral lists this ribosomal RNA (415 nucleotides) under uncultured crenarchaeote. RNAcentral's name for it is "partial 16S ribosomal RNA". It matches the Rfam family "Archaeal small subunit ribosomal RNA", at positions 330 to 747 of the family's 1478-position model. The record is from RNAcentral. Lineage: Archaea; Thermoproteati; Thermoproteota.